GAGCUUGGACAUGGUGGGGAUCAGCCUC
This 28-nucleotide small RNA is filed under the name Bombyx mori (domestic silkworm). RNAcentral describes it as "ovarian small RNA-15873". The record is from RNAcentral. Lineage: Eukaryota; Metazoa; Arthropoda; Insecta; Lepidoptera; Bombycidae.